CCUACGGGAGGCAGCAGUGAGGAAUAUUGGUCAAUGGGCGCAAGCCUGAACCAGCCAUCCCGCGUGCAGGAUGACGGCCCUAUGGGUUGUAAACUGCUUUUGUACAGGAAGAAAAAUCUCUACGAGUAGGGAACUGCCGGUACUGUACGAAUAAGCAUCGGCUAACUCCGUGCCAGCAGCCGCGGUAAUACGGAGGAUGCAAGCGUUAUCCGGAUUCAUUGGGUUUAAAGGGUGCGUAGGCGGCUCUUUAAGUCAGUGGUGAAAUCCUGCCGCUUAACGGUAGAAUUGCCAUUGAUACUGAAGAGCUUGAGUACAGUUGAGGUAAGCGGAAUGUGUAGUGUAGCGGUGAAAUGCUUAGAUAUUACACAGAACACCGAUUGCGAAGGCAGCUUACUAAACUGCAACUGACGCUGAUGCACGAAAGCGCGGGGAGCGAACAGGAUUAGAUACCCUGGUAGUCCACGCUGUAAACGAUGCUCACUCGCUGUAUGCGAUAUACCGUAUGCGGCCAAGCGAAAGCAUUAAGUGAGCCACCUGGGGAGUACGAUCGCAAGGUUGAAACUCAAAGGAAUUGACGG
This 578-nucleotide ribosomal RNA is filed under the name uncultured Bacteroidota bacterium. RNAcentral's name for it is "bacterial SSU rRNA". It matches the Rfam family "Bacterial small subunit ribosomal RNA", at positions 338 to 916 of the family's 1533-position model. The record is from RNAcentral. Lineage: Bacteria; Pseudomonadati; Bacteroidota.